This 6931-nucleotide long non-coding RNA is filed under the name Homo sapiens (human). RNAcentral describes it as "non-protein coding lnc-DPP4-2:18". The record is from RNAcentral. Lineage: Eukaryota; Metazoa; Chordata; Mammalia; Primates; Hominidae.
AGACGGCGCGGGCGGCCCGGCGUCUCCUGUCUCUGGCAGGACUGUGAGGCGGCACUUAGCGCCCUGGUCGCUCGCGCCCCGCCGACGCCUCCUUUUUCUCUCCCUACCUCUGCGCUCUGCGGCCGCCGCUGAGAUCUGGGACGGCGGCACAUCCAGCCCGGGAGACGACUGGCUAGGAAAUAGAACUGUUAGUAUUUUGAAGCCCAGAUCCCCUUUCGUUUUGGUGUUCACUACUAUUAUUGCCCUCCUCAAAAACUAAAAGGUUCAUUUGAGCUAGAUUUAACUUGGUUAUCUGAGAAGAAAAUUUUUUUAAAAGAGGGGGGAUGGUGUGAUUAGAGGGGACCGGUAAGACGCCCUUUUCUGUAAGUCCGCUUUAUCCACCUCUUGUCAUUAUUGCUUUGCAAGGAUUGGAUUUCAGGGAAAACUAAGGUUUCCCAAAUGUUCAAACCACCUAUUUUAAGCCGAGUUUAGUUUACAGGGUUUAAAGAGUCAUUUAUUCACAUUUCUCCAUGUAAUUAUCGGCAAUCACAUUUUACUCAUGAUCUACUUUGUGCUAGGCUUUCAAAAAGCAAAGUUGCAGAAGAUAUACUUGACAAGUUGAUAUUACACUCUAGGUCUAGGUACAGUCUCUGUUUAAGGCAGCUUGUUUGCCACGUUCCUGUCACUUUCUCAAAUAUGUUCCAAAUAACAAGCAUCUUUAAAGCAUUCCUAAAUCGAGAAUGGUGAUGAAUCUACUGGACAGAGGGUGAGGAAAGAUUACAGCGCCUGGAUCCAAACUGUGAUUUGAGUAGCACAAUUGCUUUAAGAUAUUAAUACCUUUAAAAACACAAAGAUUAUUUUACUCAUAGGUAAUAUUUGGAUCCACAUCUUUAUGCUUCCCCCCCAAACCUAUGCCUCUCUAUUCAUUUUUUAUGGGAGGAGGGGGUGAGUAGCCCCGUCCUCCAAAUAAUUUUCCUAAUCAGAAACUUAAGAGUAUGAACACUUGCCUCUUUUUCAUCUCUCCCCACUGUAGAAACCAUGAAAUGUGUAAUCUCCAUAACAGCUUUUCCAAUCCACCACUUCCCCUUCUAAAUACUCCCCACUUUGGCCUUAACUCAGACCUUCCUCACUUCUUUUUUAUUUUAUUUUAUUUUAUAUGUAUUUAUUUAUUAAUGCAUUUUUGAGUUAGGGUCUUGCUUUGUCACGCAGGCUGGAGUGCAGUGGCGCCAUCUGGGCUCACUGCAACAUCCCGUCCCCGGGCUCAGGCAACCCUCCCACUUCAGCCUCCUAGGUAGCUAGGGCUACAGGCGCUUGCCACCAUGCCCAGUUAAUUUUUAUUUAUGUUUUUAUUUAUUUUAUUUUUUUAGUAGAGACAGGAUUUCACCAUGUUCCCCAGGCUACUUUUUUAGAAUGCUCUUUGAUCUUUCCGCCUUCGGUCUGAUUCCUUUUAAUCCAUUCUCCACCUCACUGGUAAAAAUUUUUGUGCUAUAUGUAGUCAUGCUCCUUCUUUAUUUAAAAUUCCACUAGUGGCUCCCCAUAACAUUCAUUAUAAAGGUCAAAAAAAAAAAAAACCCUUAAACUUUGUUUGGAGCACCUUUUGCUCCAGCCAUACUAAAGUAUUUAGCUGGGGAAUAAGAUGUCCAUAGGGCUUUGAAAAACGCUAACAUAUUCCUGAGACUGUAGAAGGUGCUUAGGGUGUGCAUAUGUCUAGGGUUAUGUGAACACUCAAGAUAGGCCUGAGAAGGCCCUGAGCUCUAACCUCUGGGUGACCUUGAGGCACUACAGAAGCAAGAAGUGAAGGCUAAGGCAGAAUUAUUUGGUUGGUUGGUGCAAAAAAUUGCGGUUUUGUCAUUUCAACGAAAUUACUUUGGUACCAACCUAAUGUAAAGUGCUUGGCUGAUUGUUGAAGGCUUGUCCCAACGUAAGUACUAAACCCCUCAGGAAAGACUGGGAGAUUUUUUGGUUGAAGGUGUUUAAGAAAACCUGUCUCUCUAAUCAUUAGUUGACCACUAAGCUAACUGAGCAGAAACCUGAGUGGUCACACACAAUAAACAAUGCAGACUUUAAAGAAUUCAUUCAUAAGCUAGGUGCGGUGGCACACGUGUAGUCCCAGCUACUCGGUAAACUAAGGCCAGAGGAUCCCUUGAGUCACCAACUCAGACCCUAUCUCUAAAAAAAAAAAAAAAGAAUGAGUUCAGAAAAGUCACUAAAUCAACAACUGCUACAACAAACAGAAAUAACAGUGAAGCUUGGGGAGCGGGUAGAAUCUGAUUUCCAGUGUUGCACAUUAUAUUAUUUAAAAUGUUCAGUUUUCAAAAUAGUUAAGAUACAUGCAAAGAAACAAGAAUGUAUGGCUCAUACACAGGAUAAAAAUUAAUCAAUAGAAACUCACCCGAGGAAGCCUACAUGCUGGACUUACUAGAUAAAAAGGCUUUAAAUCAGAUAUUUUCAAUAUGUUACAAAGCUAAAGGAAACCAUGUCUAAAGAACUAGAGGAAAGUAUGAGAUGUUUCAUCAAAUAGAUGAUAAAGACAAAUCAUUUUUUAAAACCCAAAUAAUUCUGGAGUUAAAAAGUAUAAUAUGCCAUGACGGAGACAAAUUUUAAAUUUUUAAAAAAAAAUAAAAUAACAAAAAGGUAUAAUAAAGUGAAAAGUUUACUAGAGGGGCUCAACCCCAGAUUUGAGCAGGGAGAAAAAAAAAAUCAGCAAACUUCAAUAUAGGUCAGUUGAGAUGAUCUAGUCUGGGCAACAGAUUGAAAAGAGAAAGAAGAAACAUCAACAGGCCUCAAAGUCCUGUGGGACACAAUCAAGCACACCAACGUGCGCGUAAUGGGAGUUUCAGAAGGAGAGGAGAAAAAGAAAAGGGCAGGCAUAAUACUUGAAUAAAAGAAUGGCCAAAAACUUCCUAAAUUUAAUGAGAAAUAUUUAUCGACACAUCCAAGAAGCUUAACAAAUGCCAAGUGACAUAAACAAAUCCACACCUCAACACAUUGUAAUUAACCGAUUAAAAGUCAAGGGCAAAGAGAGACUCUUGAAAGUGGCCACUUUCAAGAAGAAAAGCCACAAAGAGAGAAGCCACUCAUCACAUAAUCCUCCAUAAGAUUUACAGUUGAUGCCAUGAAAGCCAAAAGGCAGGGGAUGACAUACUCAACAUGCUGAAAGAAAAAGAUCAUCAAGUAAGAAUUUUACCUCCAGCAAAACUAUCCUUCAAAAAUGAAGGCGGUAUUAAUACUUUCCCAAAAUGUAUGUAUAUACAAAGAUAGAAUUUGUCACUAGGACAUUUUCCUUGCAAGAAAUACUAAAGGGAGUCCUUCAGAAUUAAAUUGACACUAGACAGUAAUUCAAAUCCACAUGAAGGAAUAAAGAACACUUGUAAAACUAACUACAUAAGUAAAUAUAAAAGUAUAAUUUUUUAUUUGUGACUCAUUUUUCUAUUUUAUUUAAAAGACAAUUGCGUGAAGCAAUAAUUAUAAGUCUGUAUGGGCUUAUUGUAAGAUAUUAAUAUGACAGUAACAGAAGGGAGAGGAAGGAGGGAAAGAAUAAUGGAGGAACGAAGCCAUAUAGUAGCAAGUCUUUGUGUACUAUUGAAAUAAAGUUGUUAUUAAUCCAAACUAGAUUGUUAUAACUUGUUAAUUAUAAUCCCCAGAGCAACUGCUAAGAAAAUACUUUUAAAAUAUAUGAAUAAAGGACAAGGAAAUUAAAAUGGCAUACUUGAAAAUAUAUAUUUAACACAACAAAAGGCAGCAGGAAUUAAGAAAUAGAGGAAUAAAAAAGACACAGGACAUAAAGAAAACAUCGCAAAAUGACAAAUGUAAAUUCUACCUUGUCGAUGUCAACAAUCCAAAGGAUUUUCCUUAAAAAGGAAAGAGGCUGGGCGCAGUGGCUCACACCUGUAAUCACAGCACUUUGAGAGGCCAAGGCUGGAAGAUUGCUUGAGUACAGGAGUUUGAGACGAGCCUGGGCAACAUUCUAAAACCCCAUCUCCACUAAAAAAUACAAAAAAUUAGCCAGGUGUGGUGGCACAUGCCUGUAGUCCCAACUGCUUAGGCAGCUGAGGUAGGAGGAUCGCUUGAGUCCAGGAAAUCAAGUCCGAAGUGAGCCCCGAUCAUGCCACUACACUCCAGCCUUGGUGACACAGUGAGACCCUGUCACAAAAAAAAAAAAAAAAGAGAGACUUUAUUCCAGUGAAUAGUUUGUAGUCUUUUGUACCAAACAAAGGUGUUAUUCAAGAAAACAAAAAGGAUUGUCUUCUUUAGAGAAAGUUCGCACCCAGGUUCCCCCUCUGCUUUGCUAUGCAAAUGAGGAAUAAAAGCUUGUUUAGUUUUGAUUGGUUGAUGCAGGUCACAGUGUAUCAGUUAGGUCCAGGUGGUGAAAAGAGACUUUCUAGCAGUUGUUGAUUGAGGCAGUGUAAACAGGAACAGACAGCCAUGAAUGACCCAAAGUCUCAUAAGCUUGUUGGUUCUCUUCAGAAUACAGAGUACAUGUGUGACCUCCAGUCAGCAAAUGGCUGCUUGGCUCCAUUUUGAAUUUAGGACCAGUUAGCCACUCAGGAUCCAUCUUGAAAGAUUAGCUCUUUCAGGAUUCACAUCAGUCAGUAUAUUAAAUAUAAAUGGAAUAAAAACUCCAAUUAAAAGGUAGAGAUUGACAGAAUACACUUAAAAAAAAAUAUCUAGCUAUAUCUAUCCACAGAGUUACACUUUAGAUUCAGUGACACAGGUUGAAAGUAAAAGGAUGAAAAAAAGUACGAUCUAAAUAGUCACUAAAAUAGCACAACCACUUUAGAAAUUGUCCUGAUAUUUAAAAAAUAAAAAUGCAAUUAUCAUUUGACCUAGCAGUCCCACUUUAUAUUUACCAAAAAUAAAUACAAACAUGUGCCCACACCAAGACUCUUGACCGCAACAGUUCAUAGCAACUUUACUAAUAAAAGCCCUAAACUGGACACAAUCUAAAUGUUUGCCAGCUGGUGAAUAAAUAACGUCUGGUAUGUCUUUACAAUGCAAUAUUAACAAUAAAAAGGAAACUACUAAUAUAUGCAAGAACAAGGAUGAAUUUCAAAAACAUCACGCUGCGGAAAAGUAAGAUGUGAAAGUGCAUACUGUACAAUACCCCUUAAAAGGACUGUAAACAAAUCAAGUCAAAUAGGCAGUGACAGAAAGCAAAUCAGUUGUUGUCUUUGUGGUUCAUAGUAGAGUUAGGUGGGAGGAUUAACUGCACAGGGGCAUGAGGGAACUUUUUGGUUUGUUAAAAAUGUUCUAUAUUUUUAUCGUGGUGAUAGUUUGUCAAAACUCACCAAAUUGUACACUAAAAAUGGGUGCAUUUAUGGUUGAUUAUUUAUGCCUCCAUAAAGUUGAUUUAAAAGAAAAAACCUCAAAGUUGUUAUUUUCCCCCAUUCUUUUAGCCAUACCAAAGUAUUUGCUAUUAAAUCAUGCUGUCAUAUGCCUUAGAAUCUUCAGACCUACUGUUUCUCCACUCUGAAUGUCUUUUCUCCCAUCUGCUAUCACCACACUCUUUCCCACAUUUUGCUGGAGGGUGUUGAUCAGUCAAUACCCUCUCAUAUAAUCCUGCCCUAUAGCCCUACUCUGUAAUCCUUGAUUUACUUGUCUGCCUUACCAUCUAAACUUUAAAAUUCUUAACAGCGGGGAGCAUGGCCUGGUCAUAGUAGAUAUUUACAAUUAAUGUUGGAUAUUGAAGGUACUUGUCCAGAUACUUUGCUUGCUAAGAAUACUUUAAAAGAUCAGGAACAUUUUAAAUCCAGAUAUAACUCCUCUUGAAAUAAUCAAUUCCUUAAAAACAAAAAAACAAGCAAAUUUAUGCAAUUCAUAUAGCUACAUAACUGAUACGAAUAUUACAUGCCAAUGCUUUUUUUUUUCUUGAGACAGUCUCACACCGUCACCCAGGCUAGGGUGCAGUAGCACGAUCUUGACUCACUGCAACCUCUGUCUCCCCAGUUCAAGCGAUUCUCGUGCCUCAGCCUACCACGUAGCAGAAAUUAGAGGUGUGCACCACCAUGCCAGCUAAUUUUUUUAUAUUUCUAGUAGAGACAGGGUUUUGCCAUGUUGCCCAGGCUGGUUUCGAACUCUGGGCUCAAGUGACCCUCCCACUUCAGCCUCCCAAAGUGCUGGGAUUACAGGUGUGAGCCACAGCUCCCAGCCCACAUGCUAAUGCUUAAAGCAAUUAUUGUUUGGGUUAGACCCAAGAUAGCUUUGGAAACCACCUCAGUGCACAGAAUUGUGAAAUAUUUAAUUUUCUAAAAUAUUUAGUUUUCUAAAAUCAUAAAAUGACAAGAGUUCACAUUAUUAAAUAUGUAAUGUACGUUGUGUUGUGUCAAAGAGAAGCCUUCCUGCUCAUUUGGUAUCCACUGAAUCUGGCAAGUUUAUUAAAUGAAGGACUGACUAGUGGCGUUACUACAUACAUGUUACAAACCUUAAAAUCCAUCAACCUUACUGUAAAUAUUUCUUCCUAUUUAUAAAGAGCUCUAAGGACAGCUCCUUUCAUAUACAAAGUAUGACUAAAUGUCUAGUAAGAAAUUGUAAGAGUAAAUUUUCAGAUUACCCAGAUUUACAAUUAUGAAUAUCAAAAAGGGCUGUUGCCAUUUGAAUUUUUAAGAAAUGUUUAAGAAACUGAAUGUUUAAGAAAUGCAUUGUUUUCUGUUCAAAAAUUAAAAUCAGCUUUGUCAUAUUUAAUUAUGUUUUUUGAGUUACAUAGUUUUUGAGUAUUAUAAAUAAAUAUAGAUCCAGCAAAAGAAAAAGAAAAAAUAGGAAAAUAUUUACAUAUUAAAGUACAGUGAAUUAAGUUAAUGUAUAAGGCCAAUAGAAUAAUUGUUACUUCUGCCAGAUGGUAUUUUACAUUUUGAUAAAGAGAUAUAUUCUUAAUCAUAUAUGUCAAGGAAAAGCAACCAUAUGUUGUUAAACACUUCCAAUUUGUCAUUUAAUUUAAAAGGCACUACUGAUAUUG